AUUGAACGCUGGCGGCAUGCUUUACACACGCAAGUCGAACGGUAACAGGGUGCUUGCACCGCUGACGAGUGGCGAACGGGUGAGUAAUGCGUCGGAACGUGCCGAGUAGUGGGGGAUAACGCAGUGAAAGUUGUGCUAAUACCGCAUACGUACUGAGGUAGAAAGUGGGGGACCUUCGGGCCUCACGCUAUUCGAGCGGCCGACGUCUGAUUAGCUAGUAGGUGAGGUAAAGGCUCACCUAGGCGACGAUCAGUAGCGGGUCUGAGAGGAUGAUCCGCCACACUGGGACUGAGACACGGCCCAGACUCCUACGGGAGGCAGCAGUGGGGAAUUUUGGACAGUGGGCGAAAGCCUGAUCCAGCCAUGCCGCGUGUCUGAAGAAGGCCUUCGGGUUGUAAAGGACUUUUGUCAGGGAGGAAAUCCCUAGUGCUAAUAACACUGGGGGAUGACAGUACCUGAAGAAUAAGCACCGGCUAACUACGUGCCAGCCGCCGCCGUAA
This 500-nucleotide ribosomal RNA is filed under the name uncultured bacterium. RNAcentral's name for it is "partial 16S ribosomal RNA". It matches the Rfam family "Bacterial small subunit ribosomal RNA", at positions 30 to 523 of the family's 1533-position model. The record is from RNAcentral.